GACGAACGCUGGCGGCGUGCUUAACACAUGCAAGUCGAACGGAAAGGCCCUGCUUUUGUGGGGUGCUCGAGUGGCGAACGGGUGAGUAACACGUGAGUAACCUGCCCUCGACUUUGGGAUAACUUCAGGAAACUGGGGCUAAUACCGGAUAGGAGCUCCUGCUGCAUGGUGGGGGUUGGAGAGUUUCGGCGGUUGGGGAUGGACUCGCGGCUUAUCAGCUUGUUGGUGGGGGAGUGGCUUACCAAGGCUUUGACGGGUAGCCGGCCUGAGCGGGUGACCGGCCGCAAUAGGACUGAGGUGAGGCGCAGACUCCUACGGGAGGCAGCAGUAGGGAAUAUUGCACAAUGAGCGGAAGCCUGAUGCAGCAACGCCGCGGGCGGGAUGACGGCCUUCGGGGUGUAAACCGCUUUCGCCUGUGACGAAGCGUGAGUGACGGUAAUGGGUAAAGAAGCACCGGCUAACUACGUG
RNAcentral lists this ribosomal RNA (468 nucleotides) under uncultured bacterium. RNAcentral's name for it is "partial 16S ribosomal RNA". It matches the Rfam family "Bacterial small subunit ribosomal RNA", at positions 28 to 507 of the family's 1533-position model. The record is from RNAcentral.